RNAcentral lists this long non-coding RNA (13662 nucleotides) under Triticum aestivum (bread wheat). RNAcentral's name for it is "long non-coding RNA (TAES_LNC027195)". Lineage: Eukaryota; Viridiplantae; Streptophyta; Magnoliopsida; Poales; Poaceae. The record is from RNAcentral.
CUCCAUCUAGGAGAAGAUCCCGCGGGAUAUCAUCAAGACCCCCUUGUGGGAAGAUCCAUCUAGGAUAUCAUCAAGACCUCCUCUUGGAGAUGAACCUUACCUUGUAUCUUUCCCUUUGUUGUUCAUGUACCUUGUGAUCUUGUGUGUUUGAUUGUCUAGUGGAUGUGCGAUUUGGACUUGUUCUUGAGUGUUUCCCCUUGUGAUUUCUCUCCGUUCUUCCCCGUGUUCAUCGUGUUCUUCGAGGGAUCCCACUCCAAACGUGAAAGAUCGCCGCUAUAGGGUUCCACCCUACAUCAUAUGGUAUCAUGAGCCACGUUUAUCACGUAUUUGGAGUCCCUCCCACCGUUUUCUAGCCUUUUUUUGCUUGAUUUCGUCCUAAAUCCAAAAAUCCCCACCAAAAAUAGCCCCCAAAUUUUUUUGUGAUUUGUUGGUUUGAUGAUGUUUUUUUGAUUUUGAUCCAUGGAUUUGCUUGGUUUCAAGUGGAUCUAGCUUUCCCCCAAGUUUCCCCACCUUCCAUCCACGAAAUCCCUCAAAUUUUGCCCCGAAAAUCAUCCAUUUCCGCCCAAAAAUUCGCCCCCGAGAGCAAAUCCCGAGCGGAUUGACUUGCCCGGAUCAUCCGGACCUUCUCCCGGAUCAUCCGGACCAAGCCCGGAUCAGCUGGCCGCCCCCCCGGACGUCCGGAUACCCCACGCACCCAGAAAACAGAACCGGCGCUGACGAACCCGGAUCAUCCGGCUAUACACCCGGAUCAUCCGGACCGAGCCCGGAUCAUCCGGACCUCCUCCCGGAUGUCCGGUUAACCCUGACACUGACUCGGACAGAUUUUUGUUUUGGUCAUAACUAAUUCAUCCGAACUCCGAUUUUGACGUUCUUUAGCUCAUUUUGAAGCUCUUGACAUCCCCCAUCCCACAAAAAUACCACCAACAUCAUUUGACUCCAUCAUAUUUUCUGAAAUUUGGCAAGUUUGCCUAGGCCCUCCACCAUAUCAUCCGCAUUACCACCACCGACUUCCGCAACCUAACCCAUUUCGUUCCCCAUAGCAUUUGAGGUUGUUUGAGUAGUGACUUGAGUCUCCUAAGGUGUCUAGGCUACUUAGGGACGGUUGCUUCUUCAUCAACCACCACCACCACCACUUCCACAUAACCUUCCCACCAUACACUUCCGGCAACCAAACUUAACCCCAUUGUUGUUUGAUCUUGUUUGAGUUGUGGCUUGUGUCUCCUAAGGUGUUUCGGCUACUUAGGGAUGGCAACUUCAACUUCGACUCGUGUAUAGCCCAUCAUUCCACUUCCGCAUUGCCUAGUGCAACACCACCACCGCUUUCCGCUACCACCAUUUUGACAUUUGUCAUUUGAGAUUUUGAGUUUGCGGUUUUUCCGUUUCCUAAGGUGUUUCGGCUACUUAGGGACGAGUCUCCAUCAUCUUGGUAUCUACACCAAGAACACCGCCACUCAUCAUCGCAAAGGACAGUAACCUCGACGACACCUUUGUAUAUUCACCUUGCAAUUGCAUUGUUAACCCCUAGCCCAUUUUGCGUCACUUACCUAUCGAGACUAGCCAUUUGAGUAUUGCCGGCAACGUGACUUGUGCACAUUAGUGGUCUACACCAUCCAUUGCAUACAUACCAUAUCAUCUUGGUAUCUUAUCAUCCAUUGUGCCUCAAGUUUGUUCCCGCAUAUACACAAUUGCUAUCUUGGUUUGUGCAUUGUACAAAAGUGGCCAUAGAAAAAAAAAGAGAAAAAGCUUUUAAGCAAAAAGAGAGCAAAGAGCUCGUGAUCAAGUGCCAUAGCAUCAUACCCAUUGCACAUAAGAUUGCCAAAUCUACAUCAUAUGAUAUCAUGCUUGAGAGAAACACCGGGAACCAUACAUACAUAGCAUACUUGGGAUAGAAAGAAUAUCCAUUUUGCAUCUUAUAGGUUGUGCACAAGUGUCGUAUCCGCCUAUUGAGCAAUCGUGCUAGCGUCUCUCUUGAGUUGUGCAACACGAGCGUUUUGGUGGAUUCCACAUUUUGAGCUCAUUCCUUGGUUGCACGACCCCAUUUAUCUAUCCGUGUGUGUGUUUCCGUGUGCCAUUCUUUGCUAUUGGUCCAUUUGUCUCACUUGCGAAUUUGUGAAUCUUUUUCAACAUUAUUGACUCUUGCUAACAUUUUGCAUUAAAUUUUUGUGCCACUAUCCUCACCGAGCUCUACCAUAAGCCUUUACUUGAUAGCUGUGAGUGAACAAGUCCGGUACCAAUUCCACUAUUCUUUCAUCUCACAUUGAGUGAAAUGAGAUACAUCCUCAACAUUGGGAAAAGGUAACUUGGUAUUGUUUAUCUCAUUUCCUACUCACCUCUACUCGAGUCUUGUGAUGGAUAGGCAAGGCAUUUCAUCUUCGGUCUACAACAACAACGACGAGUUCGAUGCCAUGAACAACAACUACGACGCCAAGAUGGACAAGCGCAUGAAGGAGAUCAAGGCCCUCAUCAAGUCCUACAAGCGAUCUUCCUCAUCUUCGAGAAGACGCUCAAGAGCACAUGCUUCCGAGCUACCAUCUCCGGCAAGAUCACAUCGGCAUCGACACCAUCACCAACAAGAACGUGAAGGUCAAGAGCUCUACAUCAACAACCGCUCAACGACUUCACCAUCUCCCUUGGCAUCUUCGCCAAGCGACUUCAAGGCAUCUUCGCCUACGGACAUACGGCAUCUUCGCCAACAAGAACCCCAAGACUACGCUCAAGAGAAGCUCCCCAAGCUCAAGUCCGCGACUUCCACGAGCUACUACGACCUCGACAUCGACCACGCAAUUCCUUUCUAUGGGACUCAAGAACCCGAGGAGUACCUCGAGUGGGAGCGUUUGAUGGACGACUACCUCAAGCUACAUCAAGUUCCUCCCGAAGAUCAAGUGAAGUGCGCCACAAGAAACUUCCACGACUACGCAUUGGCAUGGUGGCUUCACACACCUUCGGAGAGCUAUGAGAUGAGUUGGCCCAAGACGAAGAGAGCUUUACGGCGAGAGUUUGUGCCUCCAACCUACACGGAACAACUUCGACGCCAAUUGGAGAACACCACCCAAGGAUCCAAGUCCAUCGACAAGUACUUCAAGGAGAUGAUGAUUGCCUUGCGACGAGCCGGCGUGGACGACCCCAUUUGGAUGAAGUUCCACUUCAUGAUGGGAUUGCACACCGACAUCUCCAAGACCAUCUUCCUCGAGAAUUACAAGUCCAUCGACGACUACUACAUUGGUGCUCUCAAGGCGGAACAAGAACUCAUGAAGGCCAAGGCUUCUCCACCCCAAGCACACUUCGCGGCGACCAAGCUCUACGACAAGCAUGAGGCUAGUACCACCACGAUGUCCAAGCCCGACGAGCUCCAAGACGAUGCUCCCAAGGACCAAGCUUUGGAGGCUAGCGACAAGGUGGCGAGCAAGGAUGAUGCUUCCAUCUUAGGAGGCGAGAGUGAUGAUGUGCCAUCUUCGGCCUUCAUCCAUGACGAGAGUGAUGAUGUGCCAUCUUCGGCCUUCAUCCACGGCGACCACGACGAGAUGGUUGAGCAUGGGAUCUUCCCUUCGACCACGGCGACGUAUGAUGACUUGAGUGACUUGUGCCACCAUAUUGAGAGUGAGAGUGACUUCACCACUAUCCCCAUACAUGAUGAGUUGCCACAAUUCCCAUGUGAGGAGAGCCACAACCCCCACCACUUGAGUGAGAUGAGUGACUCCACCAUACGUGAGUUUGAGUGCACCUAUUUUGAGGGAGUGAGUGAACCACCACAUAGAGAGAGUGAGAUAGUUGAUAGGUCUCGUGAGGCCAUUUGCAUUUCUAACAACUUGACCUCUACCUCUAUUGUGUCUUCUCGUUUGGUGCUAGGUCCCAUUUAUGAUGAUGCGCCGAUCCUCGACGACUUCAUCCUCCCUUUGGACAAGACGAUGGCCAUGGUGGAUUAUGAUGCACCGCCCACAUGGUUCCAUCAAGAUGAUGAUGAUGACCAGCCAUUUGGUCCUUCCCACCUCACCUACACCACUUGAGUGGAAUGACAAAGGUAACAUAGGUGAAGGUGAUGCUCUAGUCCCACUAGUGGACAUUCUUGACAUCGAUUUCUUGCAUGAUGUUGAUCCACCUAUUGCCAUGCUUCAUGCUAGUAUGAUUUCCCCAUGCGAUGAUUUGCCCAUUUAUGAUGAGAAUGAUGAUUCUCUUCUGGAGUCUAUUAGUUGUGAUGCCAUGUUACAUAGGAUUUCUUGUGACAAUUCUUUAGGUCACAUCAUGUUUGAUAAUCCGCUUGACUUGUCAUAUGCUAUGCAUGAGAUCAACCAUAUGUCUUAUUUGCAAUCUCUUCAUAGUGACUAUGCAUAUGCCAUUAAAAUAAACCCAAUUUGCACAUAUGGCAUAGAUGACAAGCCCAUGGUUAUUGGCAUUUGUUUUUCUUGUGAUGAUAUUGAUAUGCUCCCUUUGCAUCAUUUAUCUCAUAUGCCAUGCCAUGGCCACCUAGCUCCGGAUAUGCAUUGUUUUGGAUGUUGUCCAUUUUCUCCAUGUGAUGUUUCCGAUAUUGCUCAUGAGGAGACCCCCAUAGUUUCCUCAUGCAUUUUAGGAGAUUUUGAUCCAUCCCAUUCAUUGCAUGAUCCCGAUACUUGUGUGCACCAUAUGCUCCCCAUGAAUAAACAUGAUUUUGGUGUACCAUAUACUUGUUUGCUCAAUUUGUGUCCCCAUCGUGUCAUACAUAACAACUAUUCUUUCAUGAUGGAUGACAUGUUCCUAUACCAUGUGUCGGGGAUAUACCCCGCGGUAUAAACCGCCGGAUGUAUGACCCGGCUAGAGUUUGGCGAUUCACUGGCAACCCACUUGGACAUGGCGGUUCACGGUUCAUUGGUAAUCCGGCAGGCGGGUCAGAGGAGCGACAAGACCCGGUGGCCCAACGGGCGGUUUAUGGAAGGCCGGAUCAUGCUAUGGUGGGCCGGUUUAAGAGAAAAGGCGUGAGGAAUAUUUACUUUACAAGGAAGACCCGGACUUGUAUCCGGUUUGUAUUAGAGAUAGACUAGUCCUAAUCCUAAUAGGACUCCACAUGUAACCCGCCCCUUCAACAUAUAUAAGGAGGGGCAGGGCUCCCCAAAGAGGGACAAGCUAGAAGCUACAAGCAAGAAGAAACAAUCUUAGGGCUAGACACAAAGAGGAGAGCCGGUUUACGGCGACUCCCUCGUGAUGAUAAUGAGACCUAGCCUCAAACAGCAUGUAGGGUUUUUACCGGAUGAUGUUUCCCGGGGCCCGAAGCUGUCUAAAUCCCUGUCUUGUGUUGCGUCUCUCGAUUCCACUCAACCCCUCUCAAGCUACCACAUAGAUGCAUUGGCCUCGCGACUAAGUCCUGACACUAAGGACAUCUGACAUGACAAUUCCACGACAGUUGGCGCCCACCGUGGGGCCUGCACACGGUGGUAUUGAGUUCUUGGAGGGACCUAAUUCCAGGAUCGAGAAGCUCGCGAUUGAUGAGAUGAAAAAGAAUCACGCAGAAGAGCCGCCAAAUUUUUCGUUGGAAGAUCAGAAUUAUGGUUAAAGCUUUGGGAACCGGCGGAUACGAGAUUUGUAAAGAUGUUAGGGUUUGCGUGCGGCGCCUCACGCGUUGCACGGCGACCCAUUGAAUCCGAGCACAGAUCGUUUUGCCCGCUGCAGACGGACCGGACAAGAUGCCUACUCUUUUUCGCGUCCACAUCAGUACGGAUUGAUGUUUAACCCAGCCGCAGUGAUCCAAGGAAUAAACAAUUAUUGCAUGGCGGGGCUACCGAGGAUUGAUGAAAACAACUCCCGUUUGGGAAUCAAGAAAGCUUAAUACUAGUAUAUCAGUUACUACUACCAAUAGUACAUCAUGUACACCUGUACUCAAUCGAUCUAUCCAUCUGGAUUCAGCUUUGAGUCAUCGGAAGAUGGAAGGGAAAGAAGAAAGGACUCGGACGUGAGAUAGUCGACCACGCCCUAAACUCUAUAUUGCCGUUUGCGCAACUCCGCCUCCUCAUACGGGAUUCCAUAUGGCCUUGCUCCACUUCGCUGCCAUAUCUCGUUUCAUCGGGGCAUUUUUGCUGAGACGCCGAUCUCAAACUACGUCGAGCCACCGCUGCAACUGCGUCAGGCCGCCCCCGCGUUUUUCUUCAAUCCGCCAUCUUCCUGGCCUCGCCUCCGCCUCGCAGGGGGCCUCACCAAGCCGUCUACGCCCCAGGCUGCUGCUAAGCCGCCUGGCUGUUACAGCCUUAUUAAAACAACUAUGGCUUUGCCUCAAGCCGCCAUCACGCAGCCUUGUUCCGAGUCGUCGGCCGCUGACUUCACGUCCGAGCCGGUCGCCUCCGCCGCCGUUCCCUCUGUCGUCACACGCCUGAGUCGCCUUCGCCAUGCUGCCGUGGCCAAGCCGCCCGGCCGCCUCUGAAGCUGCUUGGCCUUGCUCCUCCUCGAGUCGCCGGCCGACCCUCUUCUGCCAGCAAGCCGCCCCGCCCUUCGCUUCGCCCCACUGUUGCACCACAUGCGCCCUCUGCCGGCUUGCACCACUGCGCGUCCCGUCUGUGCGAUUCAUGCCAAGCUUCUGUCGGUCUGCCGCUGUGGACUCCGUCUCCUCUGCCAAGAGCCGCCCAGCGCCAUGGUUUACUGAACAGCUGGUUUGAUGAGGGACCGCAUGGAGCAUUACUAUCAUCUGUCAUCAGACGUUACGGCUGACUCACCCGUCUGCACCGGCUUACCACGCUGCGGUCGGUUCGGCCGUGAUUGAUUUCAGCAUCACCAUAGUGAUCAUCAAACUCCGCGGCGGAUAAUUUCUGGCCUAAACGAAUCAGGUGCUAUCCAUCUAAGGUUUAUUUAUUAGCACGUAUUAUUUUGUCAAAGAAUAGUUACUUUGAUCUGUGUAUUUUUUAUAUACAGGACAAUCAUUCACUAUAAUGUGGGGAGCAUGGGCUGACAAUAUUCCGCCCGGCAAUAGUCCAUACCAUAUUACCCGAUGAAUGGGCGCGCACAAGCCGCCGCCCGUGCGGCCCGGUCUACAUCAACUAGUCGGGACUGCGCGUGUGAUCGACUCGCGCAUCCGCACCGGUUUAACAUCCGGUUCACGCGUCCGCGCCGACUUACAACGAGGAGGACAACUCGCCCAUCCACGCCGGAUUAUAACACCGCGGCCGACUCAGCUAUCUAUCUUUUUUGUCCGUCUCUCGCGGCCUGGUUUACAUCAACACACCGGGUCGCACCUGUCUGCAUGAGCUGCUUAUUGAAUAUAAAGCCAGUCACUGCUUGGGUAGCCCGGUUUUAUUUCAACAAAAGGGAGGCAAAUUAUCAUAUACUAUCAACCGCCGCCCGUACUGGAUGGCUCAAUGGGCAGGCGCACAAGUCGCCGCCACUACAGUUUGGCUAACUUCAAAUCACCAGUUGGAAGGAACCAUUGACCGAGUCGCUGAACACGGCUCAUACGGGAUCAUUUAUAACCCGCCGCAGUUACAUCAAUCCUCAGUGGAUUCACAUCGUGCUAUCAACACCAAUGAUAUACAAGUUAUGCCGGUUUAUAUCACGGUCGAACAUGGAGAAUCUCAAGCCAACUCCUCGAGUCACCUUUGAGACUUGGGGGCUACGAUGACAUAACUCAGCAAAUCUUGCCAGUUUCAGCAAAGUUAAAAACCCAGGACGAUGGAGGGAAAGAUAACCCGGUCCCGGAGGCUACUGUUAUGAAAAUUUAAAGGCUAUCGGAAAAUUUCCGUCUUAGAAAGUAUAUAACAGUUACAAAAUCCCGGCUCAGUGAAGAAGUUCCGGAUCAUCAGAAAGGAUUCCGGUUUCAAAUCCGGCUCAAGGGAAGUCAGUCUCACUGAAGCUCUCAAGUAUCCAGUUUACAAUCCGGUUCAAGGGAAAUAUAUUCUCCCACAAAGCUCUCAAACUCUCAAAUCCGGUUUAAAAAUGUCCGGUUCAAAAAGGAAUUAACUUCUCGCAAGUUCGAGUUGAAAGGCCAUCAGAAAAUUUCCGGCUGAAAAUGAAGAUUCCGGUUUACAAUCCGGUUCAAGGGAAAGAUGUCUCCCACAAAUCCUUGAAGCUCUCAAUAUCCGGUUCAAAAUCCCGGUUCAAGAAGGAUUUAUCUCUUGCAAAAAGUUAAAGGGUGCCAAAGAAGACUUGCUGCCAUGAUGCGCGGUCCAAACAUGGGUAUCAUGCCUUAUUGGCUUAUCAUAUUAUUGGUCACUUGGGGGCUUGGUCGUAUCCGAACCAUAGCCAUGCCUCUUGAUCGGCCUAGUGCCAUAACAUCACUGGGGGCCUUGGUCGUGUCCGAACCAACGCGACACCUUUUGAUAGGCGACAGCCACCAGAUCACUUGGGGACAUGGUCAAGUCUGAACCAGUCACGCCUCUUGGUCGGCCUAAGGCCACAAAAUCACUUGGGGGCUUGGUCGAACCCGAACCAUUGCCACGCCUCUUGAUCUGGCAUAUAUGCCACGAAUCAUUUGGGGACCUGGCUGACUUGAACCAUAGCUACACCUUAUUGGGAGCUUGGUCGUGUCCGACCAUGGUAACACCAUCUGAUCGGCUCAGUAAAGCCUCUUUUUGCAAAUGGUCUUAUCAUUGCCUUUGCUUCCAUAUUUUUUCAUAACUGUUAUUUGAUUUUUGUUGCAUUUUUUAAACCGACAACGUUUUAAUCCGGUUCAACUAUCAAUUACAAAUUGACGGAACACGGUCAAAUCUUAAUCCGGAGGCCAUCUGCCCGGUUUGAUUUUCUGUUACCAUCCUAUUAUGGAGUAAACCGGUGUUUAUCAACCCGGCUUGACUUUCAAUUACAAGUUGUCAAUACAGGAUCAAGUUAUAGUCCGGAGACUAUCAGCCCGGUCUGGUUUGACUACGAGUCGCCAGUAUUAUAUAUGGUUAAACCGGUGUUUAUCACAACCCGGUACGGUUUAUCAUCAACCGGCACAGUAUGAAAGGAGUUAUCAUUACUCAAGAUUGGGGUUAUCACUCUUACUACAAAAAAUUGGUAAACCAAUGAUGUGAUUCAAUAUCACAGGUAUGAUAUAUUUCAUUGAUUAUUCUUAAGAGCAGCCUUGGUUAUAAACCUGGGUUAUAUGUUGGGCAUUAUGACCCGUCCGGCGGUAAACCGCCAGAACACUUUAAACUUGUUGUAUGCAGAGACAGGUUGAAUAAAGCAUGAUGAUAAAUUAUCCGGUGUUUAUUAAACCGGCAUGGCUUUAAGACGAUAAGUCGCCAGUAUAUGAUGGGAAAUUAUCCGGAGUUUAUUAAACCGGCCUGGCUUUGGACUAUACGUCGCCAGUAUAUAUUUGGAUUGCGCCAUUGGAAUCAUGCGCUUAUAAAUGAUUGGGUUAUAUUAUUCAAAUAGCCAAAUUUGGCUGAAUUUUCAUUAUGAUAUUGGAUGAAUUUUUCAUACCGGAUUAUAUUAUCUUGAAUAGCCAACAUGGCUGGAUUUUUAUGGUUAUUAGUAACCGGUAUUAUUGAGUUUUCAAAGUCGCUUUAGCGCAACAGUUAUUAUUUUAUCAAAGGAUAUGAUUUAUUCUACAAUGGAAGGAAUAGUCCCGAGUCGCUGCAGGCUCACGACCCGGCACUUGGGGGCUACAUUAUUCAAAUUGAGAUUACAUGCAAGUCUCAUGUCGCUGCAAGCAUGCACCAUGACACUUGGGGGCUAAUGCAAAGUAUAUUAUUGAAGACCCGACUCAUCACAUUAUAAUGAGUCGGCCAUUGGGGGCUAUCAAUUGCUCCUGUCAACAGUUGAAGGUACAAAGCUUUUUAUUCAUUAUAUUGAAGGGUCCACUGCUCCGUUGGUAAAAACACAAGGCUCUUAACCUUGUGGACGUGGAUUCAAGUCCCAUGAUGGGGGUUACAUCAUAUGAUGUCAUUUUCAUUGAAGAAUAUAUUAAGUCCCAGCUCAAUAUUAUCUUACUGAGCCGGUCCUUGGGGGCUACACAUCAUUGCUCAGAUCUACAUGAUUAUACCUACAAAGUCCCUGCUCAUUAUUGCAUAAUGACCCGGCUCUUGGGGGCUACACUGGUUGAAGUUUUUAUGAGUAUAAGACAAUUGCAAGUCCCAGGUUGCUGUAAGCAUGAUAACCCGGCACUUGGGGGCUACAUAGUAUGGAGUAUUCAGUUUUUACUAGUUACUGGGAUGAACAACAUGGAUUUCUUCUUAAGUGGCAGUAUUUAUAUUGAAGCAAAGUCUUAAGCCAUCACUUUGUUCUGCUCAAGACUUGGGGGCUACAGGUAUUAUAUUAUUAUCGAAGAACUAUUUUCAAAUUCUCUGUUUUGAGCAAACUGGAUUAACCCGGCGUCACCAAUCAUUAUGACCCUGUGUCUGUAACCUGGCGUCAUCAAUAAUCAUGAACCAGCAUUAGCAACAAUCAUGAACUGGUGUUGGCAACAAUCAUGACCCGGAAUUAUCAGUUUUUAUAACCAGACAAUGGUGGUAAUCAUAAACCGGCAAGUUUUACAUCUUCAAGCCGGCUGGAUAUCAGUUGAAUAUUUCAGAGACUAAUAUUUUUGUCAAGUCAAAGCAUUGAAGGCCGAUUCAAAUGGAUUCUUUAUUUACAAAUAUCUUCUGCAAGCAAAUUGAUUAUGAAGAUGGUUAUUAACUUGGAAGGAAGAAAUGACAAGGAUUUAAGGAUGAUCAAGUGCCGGCUUACAAGUAUAUUUAAACCGGAGCACAACCCGACAAAUUUGUUCUUGUUGCAGAUCAGUUUAACAUGGAUGAAUCCAAAUUAAACUGGGGGCUAAUGUCGGGGAUAUACCCCGCGGUAUAAACCGCCGGAUGUAUGACCCGGCUAGAGUUUGGCGAUUCACUGGCAACCCACUUGGACAUGGCGGUUUACGGUUCAUUGGUAAUCCGGCAGGCGGGUCAGAGGAGCGACAAGACCCGGUGGCCCAACGGGCGGUUUAUGGAAGGCCGGAUCAUGCUAUGGUGGGCCGGUUUAAGAGAAAAGGCGUGAGGAAUAUUUACUUUACAAGGAAGACCCGGACUUGUAUCCGGUUUGUAUUAGAGAUAGACUAGUCCUAAUCCUAAUAGGACUCCACAUGUAACCCGCCCCUUCAACAUAUAUAAGGAGGGGCAGGGCUCCCCAAAGAGGGACAAGCUAGAAGCUACAAGCAAGAAAAAACAAUCUUAGGGCUAGACACAAAGAGGAGAGCCGGUUUACGGCGACUCCCUCGUGAUGAUAAUGAGACCUAGCCUCAAACAGCAUGUAGGGUUUUUACCGGAUGAUGUUUCCCGGGGCCCGAAGCUGUCUAAAUCCCUGUCUUGUGUUGCAUCUCUCGAUUCCACUCAACCCCUCUCAAGCUACCACAUAGAUGCGUUGGCCUCGCGACUAAGUCCUGACACUAAGGACAUCUGACGUGACAAUUCCACGACACCAUGCAUCAAAUUUCUUUGAGCGAUGCCUAUCUUGUGCUAACUCACACGUGCACAUACCCAUCAUGAUGGAUGAUGUGUACAUUUACCACACACACAAUUUCUUUGGAUUGUGUCUCUUUUGUGUAGGUACCCAUGAAUACUUGUCAACCUCGCAAUCCCACGAGUUGACAAAAUGAGCUCUUGAGAGCAAUGACGAUUUGGGAUCCCGUGGACUAUUCUUACCACCGUUCCCUUCGCGCAAGGACUACGCGCAACUCCUCUACUUGGCUCUCACACGGCUAUGGGCCAUUUACCACUUCUCACAUUAUGCUCAUUUUACCGUGUUCACUUUGCAUGCUAUGCUUGCUUCUAUGCCUUUGCCAUGCAAUUGUGACCCUUGUUUGCAUCUACCCAUGAUUCUCCAUUAUGAUAUGCCUAUGUGUAUUUGCAUGCUUGGUGGAGAUCCUUGUUGCUUUUGCCAUGUUUAUCAUGUGCCCCAUUCUAUUGAUGCUUGUUGUGUUGGGAGAGUCAUGAUGACCCAUUGCUAUUCACAUAUGGCCUCUCGCCAAUACAUUCAUGAUAUUGUACUCAUGUCUUGCUUUCAUGCUUGUGCUAUGACUUGUGAAUUAUUCAUGCCCACUAUUUGCACCAAUGACAUGUUUACCAUGAUUCCUCCUAGUAUGUUGCAUCUUCGCACUACUAGCUUGCUUGAUUUGAUAGCUAUGAAUGCUCGCUAUAUUGCAUCACCCAUGUUCCACUACUUGCUUUCUUCGGUUGAUGACAUAUAUGCGCAUGCCUCACACAUGUUGAACAAUUGCUCUUUCCUUUGUGUUGAGUGCCAAUAUAUCUUCACGACACCCUAUGCACGUUAUGCUUGGAUUGUCUUGCACUUGCCCCAUGUGUUUAGACAUUUCACUAUAUUUGGUGUUGUGAAUGACUCUUAUGCCUACCAUAGACCGUUCAUUAAGCUCUUUAUGCAUGCUUGCUAUGACCUUGAGGUAGAUGCUUGUUCACUUAUCACAUAUAUUUGCAUCUUGACCUCCCAUUUGCAUGCUUGUUCCCAUGAUAUACUUGAUUGUGCUCAAUUUAUAUGCUCAAAUGCCAUGCCACACUUCUUUGUCAAACCAUAUGCUAUGCUUGAUGACAACACUUGUUGGGUGAAUAACCUCUUGAAUGCUUGGUUUUGCACUUACGACAACCACAUUUGUUUUUCCAAGUGCUUGUUAUCUUUGCUACUUUUGAAGGAAUUACAAGACGGUGCGACAUUGGAGAGUGCCCAUUUGGAACUACAAGAUGACGAAUGCUUGGUGAUCGUCCACUUCUACACGAUGACAUCAUCUCUUUCCCAUGGUGAUUUGGAUUUCGAUCCGAGGUCGGAUCUUUCCCAAGGGGGAGGGGAUGAUGCGGAGCAUCCUACGGACAUCACCACGUCAAGAGCCCAUUUGGCAAGUGACACGUGCGACAUCUACUUCACAUACACAAAGGUGAAUCAUCUCCUUUGCACGUGCUCACUUGACACUCUCGAGGAUGGUAUACUACUUGACACUCCUUACGUGUGCAUGCAUAGGUAUUGUCAGAGCUUCACGGAUGUCAAGGAGGAGUGCAAGCGCCAAGGAACGACUACACCAUCCGCGAGGGAAGCGUGGAAGAGAAGACGGAAGAAAGGAAGAAGAAGAAUGGAGCAGGACUGGAGUUGCCCGGAUCAUCCGGACCCCCAGCCGGACGAUCCGGACCGAGCCCGGAUGAUCCGGACGACCUCCCGGACGAUCCGGCUACCGUGCCCGAAGACAACAGAACCUGCUCGACGAAGCCGGAUCAUCCGGACGGUCGCCCGGAUCAUCCGGACCCCCGACGCCCGGAUCAUCCGAGCCACCAUCCGGAUCAUCCGGACCCCGCCUGCGUGCGUGACUUGGGCCGAAGCCCGUGUACCCCUUCGCCCCUCACUUACCCCUUCGCCCCUUGGGCUAUAAAUAGACCUCCUCCACCUCCUUUCUAGGGGGAGCAAAGUGAUAGCUCAUUCUUAGGUGAGCUUUGCUCCUACCUAUCUCUACUCUUGAGAGAGAGAGACCACUACUCCAUUGGAGGCCAAGACCUCCAUCUAGGAGAAGAUCCCGCGGGAUAUUAUCAAGACCCCCUUGUGGGAAGAUCCAUCUAGGAUAUCAUCAAGACCUCCUCUUGGAGAUGAACCUUACCUUGUAUCUUUCCCUUUGUUGUUCAUAUACCUUGUGAUCUUGUGUGUUUGAUUGUCUAGUGGAUGUGUGAUUUGGACUUGUUCUUGAGUGUUUCCCCUUGUGAUUUCUCUCCGUUCUUCCCCAUGUUCAUCGUGUUCUUCGAGGGAUCCCACUCCAAACGUGAAAGAUCG